RNAcentral lists this ribosomal RNA (253 nucleotides) under uncultured bacterium. RNAcentral describes it as "partial 16S ribosomal RNA". It matches the Rfam family "Bacterial small subunit ribosomal RNA", at positions 524 to 776 of the family's 1533-position model. The record is from RNAcentral.
UACAGAGGUGGCAAGCGUUGUUCGGAAUUACUGGGCGUAAAGGGCGCGUAGGCGGCCUUCUAAGUCAGACGUGAAAUCCCCCGGCUUAACCUGGGAACUGCGUCUGAUACUGGGAGGCUUGAGUAUGGGAGAGGGAUGUAGAAUUCCAGGUGUAGCGGUGAAAUGCGUAGAUAUCUGGAGGAAUACCGGGGGCGAAGGCGGCAUCCUGGACCAUAACUGACGCUGAGGCGCGAAAGCUAGGGGAGCAAACGGG